This 1264-nucleotide long non-coding RNA is filed under the name Anser brachyrhynchus (Pink-footed goose). Its description in RNAcentral is "lncRNA (ENSABRG00000016128.1)". The record is from RNAcentral. Lineage: Eukaryota; Metazoa; Chordata; Aves; Anseriformes; Anatidae.
AUGUUGGGGAUAGGAAAAACAGCUCUGCAGAAGGACUACGGACUCUUGGUGCUCUGUAGUGACUCUGACAUACAGAGGACUCACCAUAAUAUGGUACAAGCCUUUCUGCCCACCCUUCAGAUUAUCCUCCAGACAGCUAGGAAACAAAGCACAUCAGGAUGUUGUGCAUGCCUGCAUGCAGGCAAAAAGCCUCUCCAGUGCCACCAGACUGAAUUAAACAGGACAUCAAAAGGACCUGCCAAAUUUGAUGUGACCAGACAGUGAGGGGAAGUCAGAGCAGUACCGAUGCAGAGCAAAGACUUGGGAUGCUGUUACGGCAGAUUUUAAAAAAGGACAAAUCCUGUGGAGAUUUUCCCCUUUAAGGGAAAAGAGGAUGAAAGCAGAAGGUUUCAAGCGAUCCCGAAUGUGCAGGCUGCCACAAUGCAAGAGUGAGCCAGGGCUGUGUGGCUGACAGCCCCCCAGCAAGGCACUCACUGCUCGAAUCCAGACUGCUGGAUAAACAUCUAUAAGUCAUUCAAGACGGUCUAUAUGUUGUCUCUCACAUGUCCCCACCUGUCUAGGCAGUUCACCCCAGCUUAAAGGGAAGCUGCAAAGUAAAAUAUGUUAUUAACUUUACCUUUGUAAUCCUCUCCUGAGAUGCUGUUUUCUGUUGGUGGGGCCUCGCCUGGAAUACUGUGUGCAGUUCUGGGCCCCACAGUAUGAAACAGAUGUUAAGGUCCUUGAAAGAGGAGGGCAACAAAGCUGGAAAAGGGGCUGGAAGGCCUGUCCUGUGAGGAGAGGCUGAGGGCACCUGGGUGGUCCAGUCUGGAGGAAAGGAGGCCAAGAGGCGACCUCGCUGCUCUCUGCGGCUUCCCGAGGAGGUGCCGGUCUCUGCCCCCUGGGACCGAUGGCAGGAUGUGCGGGAAGGGCACAAAGCUGUGCCAGGGGAGGGUCAGACCGGGCAUCGGGAAAAUAUUCUGGACUGUGAGGGUGGCCGAAGGUUGGAAGAGGCUUUCUAGCAAGGUGGUUGAUGAAGUGUUCGACCCUGUCAGUGUUCAAGAGGCAUUUGGGCAAUGCCCUUGUUACCAGGCCUUAACUUUUGGGUAGCCCUGAAGAGGUCAGAGAGUUGGACUAGAUGAUCUUUGAAGGUCCCUUCCACAUGAGCUGUUCUGUUCUGUUCUGUUCUGUUCUGUUCUGUUCUGUUCUGUUCUAUCCUAUCCUAUCCUAUCCUAUCCUAUCCUAUCCUAUCCUAUCCUAUCCUAUCCUAUCCUAUCCUAUCCUAUCC